GCUUGUCUCAAAGAUUAAGCCAUGCAUGUCUUAGUGUAAAUAACUCUUAUGAAACUGCGAAUGGCUCAUUAAAUCAGUUAUCGUUUAUUUGAUGGUCCCUUACUACAUGGAUAACCGUAGUAAUUCUAGAGCUAAUACAUGCACAAAGGCCCGACUCACGAAGGGCUGUAUUUAUUAGAUUUAAAGCCGACAUCUUUUGGUGAUUCAUAAUAACCGAACGAACCGUAUGCGCAAGCGACGGUGGUUCAUUCAAGUUUCUGCCCUAUCAGCUUUCGAUGGUAGGGUAUUGGCCUACCAUGGCGUUAACGGGUAACGGAGAAUUAGGGUUCGAUUCCGGAGAGGGAGCCUGAGAGAUGGCUACCACAUCCAAGGAAGGCAGCAGG
This 383-nucleotide ribosomal RNA is filed under the name uncultured Cryptomonadales. RNAcentral describes it as "partial small subunit ribosomal RNA". It matches the Rfam family "Eukaryotic small subunit ribosomal RNA", at positions 30 to 432 of the family's 1831-position model. The record is from RNAcentral. Lineage: Eukaryota; Cryptophyceae; Cryptomonadales.